Long non-coding RNA from Mustela erminea (ermine), 453 nucleotides. RefSeq lists it as uncharacterized. The transcript has 3 exons. NCBI's taxonomy places the organism in Eukaryota, Metazoa, Chordata, Mammalia, Carnivora, Mustelidae. The record is from RefSeq and is a predicted model, not a curated record.
UGGAGUGGCCAGCCUCUUUCUUCCAUUGUUUGCUGCCCUCUGAGCACUGCCGCCAGUUUCAGAUUAUACCUGAGAAGUUCCAGAGGAGCUUGCAAACCAACAGAGUCUGGACUCAAGGAGCCAGAGCCUCCCAUGUGAACAACUGGCCAGGAGGCAUCAGAGCAUUUGGAGCUAGUUUACCACUGUCUCAGUAUAAAGUUUUCUUCCCUGUUCUGGUAAUACUCUCAGCAUGUUCGGUGCAUGGCUGUCCGUGUUAUGACCCCUCUAGGCUCAAAUUGACACUUCUAUUCUUCCUGGAUCUCAAGCUUGGUGCCCAGAACACUGGAACUAUACCAUUAGCUCUCCAGCUUGAUGACUGCGGAUCUUGGGGCCUGUCAGCCCCCAUAAUCAUGUGAGCAGAUUCCAAUAAUAAAUAAAUAAAUAAAUAAAUAAAUUAAUAUCUCCUAUUGGUUC